UCCUUGGUAACUAAGUCGGUAAAGAAUCUGCCUGCAAAGCAGGAGACCUGGGUUCAAUCCCUGGGUCAGGAA
Molecule: transfer RNA, 72 nt
Filed under: Ovis aries (sheep)
Lineage: Eukaryota; Metazoa; Chordata; Mammalia; Artiodactyla; Bovidae
Rfam family: tRNA
About the family: Transfer RNA (tRNA) molecules are approximately 80 nucleotides in length.
Source: Rfam by way of RNAcentral